RNAcentral lists this ribosomal RNA (429 nucleotides) under Chloroflexota bacterium. RNAcentral describes it as "Chloroflexi bacterium partial 16S ribosomal RNA". It matches the Rfam family "Bacterial small subunit ribosomal RNA", at positions 355 to 776 of the family's 1533-position model. The record is from RNAcentral. Lineage: Bacteria; Bacillati; Chloroflexota.
UGGGGUAUAUUGCACAAUGGGCGCAAGCCUGAUGCAGCCAUGCCGCGUGUAUGAAGAAGGCCUUCGGGUUGUAAAGUACUUUCAGUCGGGAGGAAGGUGUCAAGGUUAAUAACCUUGGCAAUUGACGUUACCGACAGAAGAAGCACCGGCUAACUCCGUGCCAGCAGCCGCGGUAAUACGGAGGGUGCAAGCGUUAAUCGGAAUUACUGGGCGUAAAGCGCACGCAGGCGGUUGAUUGAGUCAGAUGUGAAAUCCCCGGGCUUAACCCGGGAAUUGCAUCUGAUACUGGUCAGCUAGAGUCUUGUAGAGGGGGGUAGAAUUCCAUGUGUAGCGGUGAAAUGCGUAGAGAUGUGGAGGAAUACCGGUGGCGAAGGCGGCCCCCUGGACAAAGACUGACGCUCAGGUGCGAAAGCGUGGGGAGCAAACAGG